UACGUAGGGGGCUAGCGUUGUCCGGAAUCAUUGGGCGUAAAGCGCGUGUAGGCGGUCCGGUAAGUCCGCUGUGAAAGUCGAGGGCUCAACCCUCGAAUGCCGGUGGAUACUGUCGGGCUUGAGUACGGGAGAGGCGAGUGGAAUUCCUGGUGUAGCGGUGGAAUGCGCAGAUAUCAGGAGGAACACCGAUGGCGAAGGCAGUUCUCUGGGCCGUAACUGACGCUGAGGAGCGAAAGCGUGGGGAGCGAACAGG
This 253-nucleotide ribosomal RNA is filed under the name uncultured bacterium. RNAcentral's name for it is "partial 16S ribosomal RNA". It matches the Rfam family "Bacterial small subunit ribosomal RNA", at positions 524 to 776 of the family's 1533-position model. The record is from RNAcentral.